UACGGAGGGUGCGAGCGUUAAUCGGAAUUACUGGGCGUAAAGCGCGCGUAGGCGGUUCGAUAAGUCGGGUGUGAAAGCCCUGGGCUCAACCUGGGAAUUGCAUUCGAUACUGUCGAGCUAGAGUGUGGUAGAGGGAAGUGGAAUUUCCGGUGUAGCGGUGAAAUGCGUAGAUAUCGGAAGGAACAUCAGUGGCGAAGGCGGCUUCCUGGACCAACACUGACGCUGAGGUGCGAAAGCGUGGGGAGCAAACAGG
Molecule: ribosomal RNA, 253 nt
Filed under: uncultured bacterium
Lineage: Bacteria
Description: partial 16S ribosomal RNA
Rfam family: Bacterial small subunit ribosomal RNA
Source: RNAcentral